GCGGAGUGUGGAGCCCUAUGCUCGCCACCCCCCCUCUCGCCCGGCUCCUCCCUCCGGCUACCGCACCGGCGGCCACGCACGACAUUUAGGACCAUGGCCACAAGCAACCAAACGACGACCACAGUCAUGAUUCCUUUGGCUUCUGCGGUCCCGGCUGUGUCGGGCACACAUGGGCUCGGAGAUGGAGAUAGGCGCUGAAGCGGCAGGGAUGGGGAGAGGAAAAGAUGAGGCCAGGCGGACCCAGGAUGCCCGCGCGGCGGUGCCCGCCAACCCAGGUGCGGAGGAGGUGGCGCGCACACGCCGGGUCUGGCGUGCACCCGCAGGGAUGCCAGUCUGGAAGCAUUCGGAGCUGGGACACCGGGAAGGAGAAGGAAUGGUCGUCCCGUUCCCUGCAGGAUGAGACUUGGUAACCGACCUGCAAGCUGGUCUGGCAGCUCACGGGACUCCGAAGGCUCUCCUGGUGCCCCGACGCCUCUCAACCUCCCUAGGGGGCGGAAGCAGAUUCCCCCCAACCUGAAAGAAACAGCACCACGUGUCCCCUUCUCCCCUGACGACGACGGCGCUGAGGUCGUGGCCCAGGUCAUCGGUUUUCCAGCAAAUACGCCUCACAACAGAGGCGGCGGCGGUAGCUGACAAUUCCUAGUCGCGAGAGCCGCCGCUGCGGCGUGUAGGUGUCGGAUGCAGAAGACCACCAGACUCCCCGACGUCAGCUGUGACCCACCUCGGCGCGCAUUCCCACCAGCUCUUCAGCUGAAGCAACAAGCACACACGUGGUUGCAAUUUUGUAAUAUUCUCUGGCUUAUUGCGCUGUAAAUGCUAAUAGAAAGUAAAUUAACUGUGAUGUUUUGAUAUCUCAUUGUAUUUACAAAAUUUUAAAAUCGUAAGACACUGAAUGAAGAUAUAUUGAAACACAAGGUUUGUUUUCUUAAAGCCAGAAAUAAAAUAUA
Jaculus jaculus (lesser Egyptian jerboa) is the source of this 947-nucleotide long non-coding RNA. RefSeq lists it as uncharacterized. The record is from RefSeq and is a predicted model, not a curated record. The transcript has 3 exons. NCBI's taxonomy places the organism in Eukaryota, Metazoa, Chordata, Mammalia, Rodentia, Dipodidae.